CUUCGGCUAUAAAUCUGAUGGAGGGAAGACAUCAACCAGCUGCGAUCUUUUUCUUCGUCCCUUGAUUCAGAAGAUUCCAUUCCAUCCACAGCGUUGCUUUCAGUGGUAUCAACUAUAAAAUUUAUUCUCCUAGUUGUUACUUGAAAUGUUCCUCGCAUAACCAUUAAGGGCCGGACCAUAGAUGAUGGAAGCUCAAGAACAAUCCUUUCAUUAAGGUCACUAGGAACAUAUCCUUGUGCAACUGCUGAUGUACUUUCU
This 258-nucleotide unclassified non-coding RNA is filed under the name Hevea brasiliensis (rubber tree). The record is from RNAcentral. Lineage: Eukaryota; Viridiplantae; Streptophyta; Magnoliopsida; Malpighiales; Euphorbiaceae.